GUGCAUGUGAUGAGCUACUUGGAUUCCCCUUCAAGAUUUUUUGAAUGAUGUAGACCCGAGAUUCUGAUGCA
Molecule: small nucleolar RNA, 71 nt
Filed under: Trifolium pratense (red clover)
Lineage: Eukaryota; Viridiplantae; Streptophyta; Magnoliopsida; Fabales; Fabaceae
Description: snoRNA snoR60
Rfam family: Small nucleolar RNA snoR60
About the family: snoR60 is a member of the C/D class of snoRNA which contain the C (UGAUGA) and D (CUGA) box motifs.
Source: Rfam by way of RNAcentral